RNAcentral lists this ribosomal RNA (475 nucleotides) under uncultured organism. RNAcentral describes it as "partial 16S ribosomal RNA". It matches the Rfam family "Bacterial small subunit ribosomal RNA", at positions 332 to 798 of the family's 1533-position model. The record is from RNAcentral.
UACACUCCUACGGGAGGCAGCAGUGGGGAAUUUUGGACAAUGGGCGAAAGCCUGAUCCAGCAAUGCCGCGUGAGUGAAGAAGGCCUUCGGGUUGUAAAGCUCUUUUGUCAGGGAAGAAACGGUGAGAGCUAAUAUCUCUUGCUAAUGACGGUACCUGAAGAAUAAGCACCGGCUAACUACGUGCCAGCAGCCGCGGUAAUACGUAGGGUGCAAGCGUUAAUCGGAAUUACUGGGCGUAAAGCGUGCGCAGGCGGUUUUGUAAGUCUGAUGUGAAAUCCCCGGGCUCAACCUGGGAAUUGCAUUGGAGACUGCAAGGCUAGAAUCUGGCAGAGGGGGGUAGAAUUCCACGUGUAGCAGUGAAAUGCGUAGAUAUGUGGAGGAACACCGAUGGCGAAGGCAGCCCCCUGGGUCAAGAUUGACGCUCAUGCACGAAAGCGUGGGGAGCAAACAGGAUUAGAAACCCUGGUAGUCCCAU